Molecule: ribosomal RNA, 468 nt
Filed under: uncultured bacterium
Lineage: Bacteria
Description: partial 16S ribosomal RNA
Rfam family: Bacterial small subunit ribosomal RNA
Source: RNAcentral
GACGAACGCUGGCGGCGUGCUUAACACAUGCAAGUCGAACGGAAAGGCCCUGCUUUCUUGGGGUGCUCGAGUGGCGAACGGGUGAGUAACACGUGAGUAACCUGCCCUUCACUUUGGGAUAACUUCAGGAAACUGGGGCUAAUACCGGAUAGCAGCUCCUGCUGCAUGGUGGAGGUUGGAAAGUUUCGGCGGUUGGGGAUGGACGCGCGGCUUAUCAGCUUGUUGGUGGGGUAGUGGCUUACCAAGGCUUUGACGGGUAGCCGGCCUGAGAGGGUGACCGGCCACAUUGGGACUGAGAUACGGCCCAGACUCCUACGGGAGGCAGCAGUGGGGAAUAUUGCACAAUGGGCGGAAGCCUGAUGCAGCAACGCCGCGUGCGGGAUGACGGCCUUCGGGUUGUAAACCGCUUUCGCCUGUGACGAAGCGUGAGUGACGGUAAUGGGUAAAGAAGCACCGGCUAACUACGUG